Molecule: ribosomal RNA, 445 nt
Filed under: uncultured bacterium
Lineage: Bacteria
Description: partial 16S ribosomal RNA
Rfam family: Bacterial small subunit ribosomal RNA
Source: RNAcentral
GUGAGGAAUAUUGGACAAUGGGUGGAAGCCUGAUCCAGCCAUCCCGCGUGUAGGAAGACGGCCCUAUGGGUUGUAAACUACUUUUAUCUGGGGAUAAACCUACUUACGUGUAAGUAGCUGAAGGUACCAGAUGAAUAAGCACCGGCUAACUCCGUGCCAGCAGCCGCGGUAAUACGGAGGGUGCAAGCGUUAUCCGGAUUUAUUGGGUUUAAAGGGUCCGUAGGCGGACUGAUAAGUCAGUGGUGAAAUCCGACAGCUUAACUGUCGAACUGCCAUUGAUACUGUUAGUCUUGAGUAAGGUUGAAGUGGCUGGAAUAAGUAGUGUAGCGGUGAAAUGCAUAGAUAUUACUUAGAACACCAAUUGCGAAGGCAGGUCACUAAGUCUUAACUGACGCUGAUGGACGAAAGCGUGGGGAGCGAACAGGAUUAGAAACCCUGGUAGUCC